Non-coding RNA from Phascolarctos cinereus (koala), 975 nucleotides. The record is from RefSeq and is a predicted model, not a curated record. NCBI's taxonomy places the organism in Eukaryota, Metazoa, Chordata, Mammalia, Diprotodontia, Phascolarctidae.
UUGCUGUUCCAUAACUUCCAGAGGCCAUUAAUUGUCAAUCAGAAUGAAAAAUUUAUAAUUUCAGUCAGUUCCAGCAUGACAGGAAAGUCCAUAUGGUCUUUAAAUGAAGGGAGUAGAACUUAUGGUUUAGUACUGGUCCUAUAAAAGUUACUUUCCUGAUCACAGCCACAGCUUGGGGGAGCAGAGAGAAUGGAUGAGAACUUUGCUGGUCCUUGAACCACCAUUAAACUAGCUAAGUAACCCAACAUCACUCAGAAUUAAGCAGCAGAGCCAAGAUUUGAAUGUUAGUCUUUGGAUUCCAGGUCCACUGAUUACCCUUCCCAUAGUAAUACAAGUGUUACCUGCACUAAUGGCACUUUUCUGGUCAGGAAGGAGCCAUGCUUGUAACCUGAUCCCUUUGAACACUGACCUUGCCCAGGCAGUCUGGGGCUUUGUGUAACCUAUUAAGUAAAAAUUGCCCUACCCAGGCUCUUGGUACAGUGGUGCCCCUGGGUCUGGUCUAAGUGGGUAGUGGCAUAGGAAGUCCUCAGGGGAAGAGAAGCUGUGAGCCUGCCCUUGGGGAGGGAGGGAGGAGGGGCCAGUGCAGUGAAAACUGAGCUGGCUUAUGAAAUCCCCUUUUAAACCAAGUAAUAAAAGCAGACCUUCUGGUUUUCUUUUUUAAGGGCGUGUGUUUCUUCUGUGGUAUUAGGGAGUUACAUUUUGUUUAGUUUUUCCUGGAAACCAGUAAGCAGGAGAUGCCCCUAACUUGCCUUAAAGACCCAGGGAAACAAGCAACGGGGCCCUCUGCCAGGAAGCUGUUAACUUCCUUUUGAGGCUGUGUGAAUGUAAACAUCCCUUUCAGUCAUAGAAGUCAGAUGGGGAAGUUGGUUCUCAGAAAAGUUGUGACUUCCUUCAGAAGCAGGAGCUGUUCCCUCAAAUAGCAUCCUUUGUGAGGUGGAGCUUCCUGGCACUGGAAAUGUUCAGAAGGAUAAUAAA